This is a non-coding RNA of Delphinapterus leucas (beluga whale), 3025 nucleotides long. NCBI's taxonomy places the organism in Eukaryota, Metazoa, Chordata, Mammalia, Artiodactyla, Monodontidae. The record is from RefSeq and is a predicted model, not a curated record.
GGGCGCCAGACCAGGGUGGGUGCGCAGAUGCUGGGGUCUGGGCGGAGGGAGCGGCGGAACAGGCGUUCGGCCAACACGGCUGUGGUCAGGAGGAAGACAGCAGCCAGGGCGGCCAGGGCCAGCAUGAUGGGGACACAGGGCCCGCAGGGCAGCGGGGGCCAUGAGGAGGCCUCUGAUGCAGGGGGCCCCUCCAUGUGCCCAGAGGGCUGCUCUGGGGUCGGAGGCAUCUGGAGAGCUGGGGUCAGGAGAGGAAGCACAUGAGACAGGGUUGGCACGAUCAGGAGAGAGAGGGGCCAGGGGAGCAGGGUUCAGCAACGUCUGGCUGGAGAAACAGACCCAGGCAGACAGAGGAGCCCGGAGGACCCAGAAACAGCGGGAAGGAGCCAGAUGGCCAGAGAGAUGGGGCCCACCUCGGUCUGCAGCCAGGCCCUCCUGUUCAGAAUCCCCAGGCCCUUUCUGGAAGCUGCAUUUUCCUCCCAGACUCCAGGGUGCCUCAGACAAAACUGAACUCAAACUCAAAGAACCCAAGGACUUCUUUCCUCCUGUCUCAGCCCGCUCAUGUCUUGCUUAGAAGAAGUGCUGGGUGAGGAAAUGAGAGCCUCCGUCCCAGCUCUGCCCCUGCGUGUGGGCCCCGCUCCCGGCCACAUUGGCGGUGCCCUGGCUGCUCCUUUGCCCUCACAACUCUCCUUGGAGUUGGUCUUGUUCUUUGCAGGCUCCCCUGAGUUUGCUGUUGUGCCAGGUCUCAGGUGCCACCUCUGCACCUGUCCCCGCAGUCUCUGUCUGCCUCUGCCUGUCCCCCAGGUCCCCCACCUGCAGGGGCCUCCUGCAUUCCUCACCUCACCUCAGUCAGUCUCUGGGCUCCUGGCUCGCCCUCAGAGCCGCUCUUCCCUGUGCGAGCCAAGGGUGCAGGGCAGCUGCCUCAGAUGAGGGUGGAAGGGAGGGCACCACCUGUUGCUGGGCAACUGUGCCCUGGAUCUCCCAGCCCCCCCGCAGAGUGUUUCCAAGGCAACCUGGGGGGAUGUGGUCACUGUGGUGGGGAGGCGUUUCCUGGUGAGAGGUGGGGCCGGAAUGGGCAGCGGUUCUGUUGAUCUCAGUGUCACCCCACAGUCAGGCCCCAGGCCCCAGAACAAUUACCUGGAAGCCAAGAGAGAGAGACAGAGCCCAUCCAGACCACCAAGGUGGCUCGCUCUGUCCUGCUCGCAGGUGGCUGCUGUGUCCCUGCCCUGCCCACUGGGCCCCGCCAUACCCACUCCUGCUAUCUGUCCCCACACACCCUCCUGCUUGCCCACCUUCUCCAUGCAUUUCACAAACAUAUAUCUUCUUGUCCUCAGACCAUUUAGCCCCAAUUUUGCUUGGAAACUAUCUGUGAGGUGAGGCUCAGGUAGCAAAAAUGUCAGGCCUCUGGGAAGAAUCCAAGGCUAAAAAAUAUGCUGAGGCGUCUCUCCAAGACCACGAACAUUUGUCAUCUCGGCUCCUUUCUCCUGGUGCUUAGUGUUGAGGAGAGAAUCAUCAGCUCCUGGACUGGGAGCCUUUCAGAGACUGUCUAGAAUCGACCCACUCACUGACAGAUGGCAGGAUCUUAGUUCCCCGACCAGGGAUUGAACCCGGGCCCACAGCAGUGAAAGAGUCCUAACCACUGGAUCACCAAGGAACUCCUGGAACAGAAUUUCGAACUAGAUCCCACAGAACUCGCAUUCCUCCAGCAACGACAGCUCCACACCUUCCCCUUCCACAUUGUUGAGGACCUCAAUGAACCUGGCUCCUGAGCAAAAUGUGGAGGACACCAACCUCAGGCUAGAAGAGCAGCAGCAGCAGGCGCUGGGGAGACAACCCUUCAGGAAGACGGCGCUGUCUUCCUGCCAUGCUUACGCCACCCAUCCUGGCUGAAGCCUAAAGACUCCUUCUUAAGCAACGUUACUGCAACCAGAGUUCUGGGUUUCAUGCUUCAAGUGGCCUUCAUCCACAACCCACAACCCACAUCUCACCACUGCCUACUGAGCAAGGUGUGUUUGGACCUUGCCACGCCCACCUGGGGUCAAGAGGCAGCAACCAGGAAUGGCAGGGACGUGAUCAGUGGGGGAGGUUCCUGAUUCGCGCUCCAGACCACACAUCAGCACAGCUGAGGGCUCCAAGCAGAAUGUUGGUGAAAAGUUGCUUUACACUUCAGAAUUUCAGCUUCUGCAGAUGAAGGAACAUGCAGUCAACCCUCAGCUUCUCCCAACCAGAUGGAAUUAAACCGCACUCCCUCUUCGUGUUCUCCGUAAAGUGCAGCCUCAGGUGUGAGAAGCAGAGAAGCGGGCAGCAGACGGGCACAUUUUAUACUUGGACACUGAGGCUUAGAAGGGUUGAGUAGCCUGUCUGGGGUGACUAACGAUCCUAUUUUGCCCGGGCCUGUCCUGGUUUUAGCAGUGAAAGUUCCAUGUCCCAAAAUACCCUUAAUUUUGGGCAAACUGAGAAAGCUGGUUAGUGUCUUCCAAAGUCACACAACUAGCUGGAGCUGAAUCUGAACCCAGAUCUCACCAUCUCCCAUGUCCUCCUCCCGCUGAAUGAAUGACUUCCUGAGCAGGUCAAUCACGUGAAAUAUAUUCAGAGCAACAAGAGAUCCAGGUGUUUCCUGAUGCUCUUCCCUUCCCUUUUGCCCUCUCUGCAGGGGUGCCCAGACCAGCUGAGAGUUCCAUCCCUUACCCAGGGCCAUCCUGAUGCCUACAGUGAAUAAGGACAGGGCCGCUGAGCUCAGGAGAGCUUUAUCACUGCCAGGGCCUGCCAGGUCUCACCUACCUGGCUCCCCAAGAUCUCAAGAGUCAGAGAUUCCAACCUUGAGAGCUGUGAAAAAUGAAUUAGAGAGGUCCCAAGUGCCACCUCUUUGGGGAAAUCUGGGGAGAUGGAAAGAACCUGGGCUUUGGAACCAGUCAGCCCUGGAUUUAAUCUGAGCUUCCCAUCUUUUUUUUCUUUUUUUUUUAUACUUUAAAAAUUUUUAAUUUUAUUUUGGAGUAUAGUUGAUUAACAAUGUGUUAGUUUCAGGUGU